UUUCUAUGCACUUUCUGCAAAAAGAUCUAAAUGGUACUUCUCUGAAAAAGUAGUUUACAUCACAGUUCCUAAUGCGGUCAGUGUCCAUCUGAGUUCUGGAAUCAAACAAAAUUCUAAUUUGGGCGAAAUAGGCUUUAAUUCACAUGCAAACUUUACUAGUAUUUUCCUAUCAAUCCUGAAUGGAAUAUAUAUUUUUUUUUUUUGGGAUGAUAUGAUAUAAGGAUCG
This 226-nucleotide unclassified non-coding RNA is filed under the name Hevea brasiliensis (rubber tree). The record is from RNAcentral. Lineage: Eukaryota; Viridiplantae; Streptophyta; Magnoliopsida; Malpighiales; Euphorbiaceae.